RNAcentral lists this ribosomal RNA (403 nucleotides) under Verrucomicrobiota bacterium. RNAcentral's name for it is "Verrucomicrobia bacterium partial 16S ribosomal RNA". It matches the Rfam family "Bacterial small subunit ribosomal RNA", at positions 355 to 776 of the family's 1533-position model. Lineage: Bacteria; Pseudomonadati; Verrucomicrobiota. The record is from RNAcentral.
UGGGGAAUAUUGCACAAUGGAGGGAACUCUGAUGCAGCGACGCCGCGUGAACGAAGAAGGCUUUCGAGUCGUAAAGUUCUUUUAUAUGGGAAGAUAAUGACGGUACCAUAAGAAAAAGCCCCGGCUAACUACGUGCCAGCAGCCGCGGUAAUACGUAGGGGGCUAGCGUUGUCCGGAAUCACUGGGCGUAAAGGGUGCGUAGGUGGUCCUUCAAGUCGGUGGUUAAAGGCUACGGCUCAACCGUAGUAAGCCGCCGAAACUGGAGGACUUGAGUGCAGGAGAGGAAAGUGGAAUUCCCAGUGUAGCGGUGAAAUGCGUAGAUAUUGGGAGGAACACCAGUAGCGAAGGCGGCUUUCUGGACUGCAACUGACACUGAGGCACGAAAGCGUGGGUAGCAAACAGG